RNAcentral lists this ribosomal RNA (253 nucleotides) under uncultured bacterium. RNAcentral's name for it is "partial 16S ribosomal RNA". It matches the Rfam family "Bacterial small subunit ribosomal RNA", at positions 524 to 776 of the family's 1533-position model. The record is from RNAcentral.
UACAUGUGGGGCAAGCGUUGUUCGGAAUUACUGGGCAUAAAGGGUGCGUAGGUGGUUUGUUAAGUCACGGGUGAAAGUUUUCGGCCCAACCGGAAAAUUGCCUGUGAUACUGGCGAACUUGAGUGCGUGAGGGGUAACCGGAACGAGCAGUGUAGCGGUGAAAUGCGUAGAGAUCCGGAGGAACACCAAAGGCGAAGGCAGUGUCCUGGGGAGUACCUGACGCUCAGGUGCGAAAGCCAGGGGAGCGAACGGG